This is a non-coding RNA of Armillaria fumosa, 92 nucleotides long. Lineage: Eukaryota; Fungi; Basidiomycota; Agaricomycetes; Agaricales; Physalacriaceae. The record is from the annotation of a GenBank genome assembly.
GGCUUGAUGGUCUAGUAGUAUGAUUCCUUGUUAGGGGUGGUCACUGGCAUGCCGUUUCGAGGAGGUCCUGGGUUCAAUUCCCAGUCGAGCCC